GCAAGAGCUGUUGGAACUGGAUGGACGCCUUGAUGAUGAUUCCUUUCAUGAAUUACUCAUUUGCAAGUCAAAAGCCUCUCCUGUGUGGGUAGAACGAAUGCAAAGGAUUGUGCGAAAAGAAUCAUGCGGCGACUCCUGACCAACAAGAUUGCUCGGAACUAUAACUGGAAAGGACAAAAGGGAGAGAUGUGUGCUUUCAAGGGACUGAAGGUGCAGGCCAUGAUCUACAAAGCUGUACGGAAGAACCGUGGGUGUAUGGAGGCUUCCGAUAAAGUUAGUGCAGGAGCCAUCACAGAGUGGAGACCAAUGCUUCAGCAGACAGUGCUGUUCUACCUGUCCGUCGUCCUUCCCGCCCGAGCUGCCAUCCGCAUCAGAGAGCGACUACUCCUCUCUCAGUGACAGAGAAGUCUAGAGAUAUACACGUAAUGUCUACGAUGACUGCAAUGCCACCUACAGCCGCCGUCCUGGUCACGUAGCCAUUUGCUUCCCACGGCAACUAGCAGGCAGUCCAGACAGUCCUUUGCCACUGGAUCGCCCCCACGAUCAAGAGCUGUCUCCCACAUAGGACACCUCUGCGCUCUACCUCAUUGUACUCCUCUACACUGGCAUAUGUCUGCCCCACCUUUCUGCAUGUGGGACCACAGGCUUGUCACCAAGCAACUCUUGACCCCAAUUGGGACGCUUGAUACUUCACCAUUUAAGUUCACACAUGACAUUGCUGUAGAAGAGGUCCUAUCCAAUACAUGGCCUUGGAUGUAGCUGGUGAUUAUCUCUGAUAUUUUGCACAAAUAUCUGAUAGUUUAGAUAUCUGAUGAUUACGAAUAAGAAGGUUUCCGUAUACUCGAAUAAAGGCAUGUGGAUCUGAUAGUGUUCUAUAUACCUUGUUCUUAAAGCCUUUUCCCCAGAUGUACAGGAACCUUUGUUCAGCCUUGUUUUACAGUGUGGAAAAUCUCAUAAGGCUGGUUAAUUUGACUGAUGUGUCCAUUGUAGAAGGUUGGUGAUGAUAAUUUGAUCGUUGUUAUGUACAGAAGGAUACCUGUAUUUCUUGUGUAUUUUGUGCUACAUCUAGAUGGAUUAACCAUAUACUAUAUCUUUUCUUACAUCUAAAGCUCUAUUAGUUUAGUUUUAGUUUAAUUAUUCCUUGGGAAUCUUUAUGGAGCUUAACACCUAUCCUUGAAACAUUUUAAAUUGAACUGUUUAAAAGUGUUACUUUAAUAACAUUCCUUUGCUUUGACUUAACAGUGGUUAAUUAAUUCCUCUGAUUGUUCUCUGUUUCUCAUCUUUAUCACAUAUGGUCAAUGCUUUUGUUGUACAUCUAUAGUUAAUGCUUAAUAAUAAUUGGAAUGAUAUGUCCCUUGUAGUAGGGUAAGAAGAUGAUAAUUAGCAUAUUGUUAUCUACAUAGGGGUAACUGUCUUUUUUUGGUGUAUUUUGUACAUCAUCCAAUUGUAUUUACAAUUCACUAUUUUUUAGUAAAUGUAAAUGUCGAUAAGUUUCGUUUUAGUUCAAUUAUUUCUUGGCACUCUGCACGGAUAACAGUGCCGCACAACCUCACCUUUAAGUACUGAAAUGUGAAAUAUUUAAAAGUAUUAAUUUAAGAAAAGAUCCUAUGCAUUGAUUUGUCAGUGUUUAAUUAAUUCAUAUUCUUGUUCUCUUUUUUGAGUAUCAUUUAUUCAUUUUUGUCACAAAUGGUCACCAUUUUGUACUUGCUAUUGUAUAAUGUAAAUUUGUCUCCUGGAUGGAUCCACAAUG
This is a long non-coding RNA of Pomacea canaliculata, 1750 nucleotides long. RefSeq lists it as uncharacterized. The transcript is spliced from 3 exons. The record is from RefSeq and is a predicted model, not a curated record. NCBI's taxonomy places the organism in Eukaryota, Metazoa, Mollusca, Gastropoda, Architaenioglossa, Ampullariidae.